CCUACGGGAGGCAGCAGUAAGGAAUAUUGGACAAUGCUCGCAAGAGUGAUCCAGCCAUGCCGCGUGCAGGAAGACGGCCCUAUGGGUUGUAAACUGCUUUUGAACUAGAGAAAACCCUCCUACGUGUAGGAGGCUGAUAGUAUAGUUAGAAUAAGCAUCGGCUAACUUCGUGCCAGCAGCCGCGGUAAGACGAAGGAUGCAAGCGUUAUCCGGAUUCAUUGGGUUUAAAGGGAGCGUAGGUGGACUGAUAAGUCAGUGGUGAAAUCUCUCGGCUUAACCGAGAAAUUGCCAUUGAUACUGUUGGUCUUGAGUACAGUUGCUGUGGGCGGAAUAUGACAUGUAGUGGUGAAAUACAUAGAGAUGUCAUAGAACACCGAUUGCGAAGGCAGCUCACAAAGCUGUAACUGACACUGAGGCUCGAAAGUGCGGGGAUCAAACAGGAUUAGAUACCCUGGUAGUCCGCACCGUAAACGAUGAUUACUCGCUGCUGGGAGGUAACUUUCAGUGGCUUAGCGAAAGCGAUAAGAAUCCACCUGGGAGUCGCCGGCAACGGUUGAAACUCAAAGAUAGUACGGAGGNGNGAGNGCGACGACGACGACGACGGAGGGAGGAG
Molecule: ribosomal RNA, 613 nt
Filed under: uncultured bacterium
Lineage: Bacteria
Description: bacterial SSU rRNA
Rfam family: Bacterial small subunit ribosomal RNA
Source: RNAcentral